This 253-nucleotide ribosomal RNA is filed under the name uncultured bacterium. Its description in RNAcentral is "partial 16S ribosomal RNA". It matches the Rfam family "Bacterial small subunit ribosomal RNA", at positions 524 to 776 of the family's 1533-position model. The record is from RNAcentral.
UACGAAGGGGGCUAGCGUUGCUCGGAAUCACUGGGCGUAAAGGGUGCGUAGGCGGGUCUUUAAGUCAGAGGUGAAAUCCUGGAGCUCAACUCCAGAACUGCCUUUGAUACUGAGGAUCUUGAGUUCGGGAGAGGUGAGUGGAACUGCGAGUGUAGAGGUGAAAUUCGUAGAUAUUCGCAAGGACACCAGUGGCGAAGGCGGCUCACUGGCCCGAUACUGACGCUGAGGCACGAAAGCGUGGGGAGCAAACAGG